UGUGCUCAGGGUUUACACAGGCCCC
Molecule: non-coding RNA, 25 nt
Filed under: Mus musculus (house mouse)
Lineage: Eukaryota; Metazoa; Chordata; Mammalia; Rodentia; Muridae
Source: RNAcentral